Molecule: ribosomal RNA, 373 nt
Filed under: uncultured organism
Description: bacterial SSU rRNA
Rfam family: Bacterial small subunit ribosomal RNA
Source: RNAcentral
CGUAGGGGGCAAGCGUUGUCCGGAUUUAUUGGGCGUAAAGAGCGUGUAGGCGGCCAGAUAGGUCGGUUGUGAAAACUGGAGGCUUAACCUUCAGACGUCGAUCGAAACCAUCUGGCUAGAGUCCGGAAGAGGAGAAUGGAAUUCCUGGUGUAGCGGUGAAAUGCGCAGAUAUCAGGAAGAACACCCGUGGCGAAGGCGGUUCUCUGGGACGGUACUGACGCUGAGACGCGAAAGCGUGGGGAGCGAACAGGAUUAGAUACCCUGGUAGUCCACGCCGUAAACGAUGGGUGCUAGAUGUGGGGGGUGUCGACUCCCUCCGUGCCGAAGCUAACGCAUUAAGCACCCCGCCUGGGGAGUACGGCCGCAAGGCUAA